This 911-nucleotide ribosomal RNA is filed under the name Curvularia borreriae. RNAcentral's name for it is "partial large subunit ribosomal RNA". It matches the Rfam family "Eukaryotic large subunit ribosomal RNA", at positions 25 to 953 of the family's 3401-position model. Lineage: Eukaryota; Fungi; Ascomycota; Dothideomycetes; Pleosporales; Pleosporaceae. The record is from RNAcentral.
CGGCGAAAGAAAAUAGCAUAUCAAUAAGCGGAGGAAAAGAAACCAACAGGGAUUGCCCUAGUAACGGCGAGUGAAGCGGCAACAGCUCAAAUUUGAAAUCUGGCUCUUUCAGAGUCCGAGUUGUAAUUUGCAGAGGGCGCUUUGGCUUUGGCAGCGGUCCAAGUUCCUUGGAACAGGACGUCACAGAGGGUGAGAAUCCCGUACGUGGUCGCUAGCUAUUGCCGUGUAAAGCCCCUUCGACGAGUCGAGUUGUUUGGGAAUGCAGCUCUAAAUGGGAGGUAAAUUUCUUCUAAAGCUAAAUAUUGGCCAGAGACCGAUAGCGCACAAGUAGAGUGAUCGAAAGAUGAAAAGCACUUUGGAAAGAGAGUCAAACAGCACGUGAAAUUGUUGAAAGGGAAGCGCUUGCAGCCAGACUUGCUUGCAGUUGCUCAUCCGGGCUUUUGCCCGGUGCACUCUUCUGCAGGCAGGCCAGCAUCAGUUUGGGCGGUGGGAUAAAGGUCUCUGACACGUUCCUUCCUUCGGGUUGGCCAUAUAGGGGAGACGUCAUACCACCAGCCUGGACUGAGGUCCGCGCAUCUGCUAGGAUGCUGGCGUAAUGGCUGUAAGCGGCCCGUCUUGAAACACGGACCAAGGAGUCUAACAUCUAUGCGAGUGUUUGGGUGUCAAGCCCGAGCGCGUAAUGAAAGUGAACGGAGGUGGGAACCCGCAAGGGCGCACCAUCGACCGAUCCUGAAGUUUACGGAAGGAUUUGAGUAAGAGCAUGGCUGUUGGGACCCGAAAGAUGGUGAACUAUGCUUGAAUAGGGUGAAGCCAGAGGAAACUCUGGUGGAGGCUCGCAGCGGUUCUGACGUGCAAAUCGAUCGUCAAAUUUGGGCAUAGGGGCGAAAGACUAAUCGAACUUCCAGCGCCUA